AGCUACUUCUACUGGAUUUGCUUCCUAGCCCUUUCGCAGCAAGGGUGAGGAUAGCAUUGGCUGAAAAGGGAUUAAAUUAUGAGUCCAGAGAAGAAGAUUUGAGCAACAAGAGCCCUCUUCUUCUCAAGAUGAACCCAGUUCACAAGCAAAUCCCAGUGUUGAUCCAUAAUGGCAGACCUAUAUGCGAAUCAAUGGUAAUAGUUCAAUAUAUUGAUCAGGUAUGGAACCACAAAUCCCCAUUGUUGCCUUCUGAUCCUUAUCGACGAGCACAUGCUAGGUUCUGGGCUGACUAUAUCGACAAGAAGAUUUACCCUAUUGGACGGAUGCUGUGGGCAUCAAAAGGUGAAGUGAAAGAAGCUUCAAAGAAGGACUUGAUUGAAUGCUUUAAAAUAUUGGAGGGAGAGCUUGGAGACAAGCCAUACUUUGGAGGUGAAAGCUUCGGCUACAUUGAUUUAGCACUCAUUCCAUUCUAUAGCUUCUUUUACACAUUUGAGACUUUGGGAAACUUCAGCGUGGUAGUGGAGUUCCCUAAGCUCAUGGACUGGGCUCAGAGAUGCUUGCUGAAGGAAAGUGUGUCCAAGUCUUUAUGUGAUCAGCGCAACGUUUAUGAAGCUGUUUUGGAGAUAAGGAAGAAGUUGGGGGCUGAAUAGACCUUCCAUAAGAGCAAAGCCAGCCAGCUGCUUGAUACUCUUUUGCAC
This 698-nucleotide unclassified non-coding RNA is filed under the name Hevea brasiliensis (rubber tree). Lineage: Eukaryota; Viridiplantae; Streptophyta; Magnoliopsida; Malpighiales; Euphorbiaceae. The record is from RNAcentral.